This 470-nucleotide unclassified non-coding RNA is filed under the name Hevea brasiliensis (rubber tree). The record is from RNAcentral. Lineage: Eukaryota; Viridiplantae; Streptophyta; Magnoliopsida; Malpighiales; Euphorbiaceae.
UGGCCCAACAUUUCUCACAUCCCAAAUAUUAAUAUAGAUCGGCAUGAUUUUCAACAGCAUGGCCUCUAUUUAUUGGAAGAAGAAGGAGGCUCCUCUGCUUCCACGGGUUUGUACUUUCUACCUUCAGCCCUUUUUUUUCUUUGAAUUUUAAAUUAGCUUCAAAAAAUCAUUAGGGAGGCCAAAGUAUUCUACAGUGUCAUAUAAAAAAUAUCAUCCACUUCUUCUACAAUAAAUACCUGUCUCUAUCUGGUAAGUUGAACCAUUACUUGCUCUGUUCUGUCUUUCAUUUUAUCUCUCCAAGUUUAGGACUUGUGUUAUGAUUCUAUAUGCAGAGAUACAACUGUGGAAGGAUGAUUUUACUAAGCUUUGACUAUCCAUGGGAUGAUAGAACAUAUUGCCAGUUCCAACACCAGAAUUAUAUGUUGCUCUUGCACACAGCAAACCUCUUUCUACUUCAGAAUUUUAGAAAG